RNAcentral lists this ribosomal RNA (418 nucleotides) under uncultured eukaryote. Its description in RNAcentral is "SSU rRNA". It matches the Rfam family "Eukaryotic small subunit ribosomal RNA", at positions 594 to 945 of the family's 1831-position model. The record is from RNAcentral.
AUAGCGUAUAUUAAAGUUGUUGCGGUUAAAACGUUCGUAGUUGAACUUGUGCUUCAUACGGGUAGUGCAGCUAAUAAUUGUAGUUUGUACUAUACCUUAUGUAUGUAAGCGUAUUACCGGUGGAGUUCUUAUAUGUAUUAAAUACUUGUAUUUUUGCAUGUUCCUCCUAUUUAAACCUGCUUCAGUGCUCUUUAUCGAGUGUUGUUGUGGGCCGGUACAAUUACUUUGAACAAAUUAGAGUGCUUAAAGCAGGCUCCAAAUGCCUGAAUAUUUUGUGCAUGGAAUAAUGAAAUAAGACCUCUGUUCUACUUUCAUUGGUUAUUAGAUCAAGAGGUAAUGAUUAAUAGAAGCAGUUUGGGGGCAUUAGUAUUACGACGCGAGAGGUGAAAUUCUUGGACCGUCGUAAGACUAACUUAAG